This is a non-coding RNA of Pangasius djambal, 71 nucleotides long. The record is from the annotation of a GenBank genome assembly. Lineage: Eukaryota; Metazoa; Chordata; Actinopteri; Siluriformes; Pangasiidae.
UCCCUGGAGGACUAGUGGUUAGGCCUCAGUACUCUUACCAUCGUGGCCCGCGUUCAAUCCCGGCCAUGGAA